GUGACUAUAGUUUAACGGCAAAACUCCGGGUUGUGAUCUCGGUAAUGAGGGUUCGAUUCCCUCUAGUCACC
This 71-nucleotide transfer RNA is filed under the name Crocinitomicaceae bacterium. RNAcentral describes it as "tRNA-His". It matches the Rfam family "tRNA". Rfam says of the family: Transfer RNA (tRNA) molecules are approximately 80 nucleotides in length. Their secondary structure includes four short double-helical elements and three loops (D, anti-codon, and T loops). Lineage: Bacteria; Pseudomonadati; Bacteroidota; Flavobacteriia; Flavobacteriales; Crocinitomicaceae. The record is from RNAcentral.